AGAGAAAUAGUGUUUCAUUGCGUCUGUGCUCAGGGAAUGAUCUACUAAAAAUAUAUAUAUAUAUACAAAAAUUAGCCGGGCAUGGUGGCGUGGGCCUGUAAUCCCAGCUACUUGGAAGGCUGAGGCAGGAGAAUUGCUCUGGGUGACAGAGCAAGACCUCGUCUCAAAAAAAAAAAAACAAAAAACAACAAACAAAAAGAAAUAUUAUGUCUUUCUUUCUUUUUCUUUCUUCCUUCCUUCCUUUCCUUCCCUUUCUUCCUUUCUUUUCUUUUCUUUCCUUUUUCCUUUCCUUUCGAGACAGAGUCUUAACUCUGUCACAAGGCUGGAGUGCAGUAGCAUGGUCAUAGCUGAUGGAGUCUCACUAUACUGGACCUGUGCUCAAGCCAUCCUCUUGCCUCGCCUCCCAAAGUGUUAGGAUUAUAGGCAUGAACCAUCACACCCAGCAAAGCAUUAUGUUUCUGUGACUUUGAGGAUCUUAAGUAAUGUGACUAUUUUCAUUUUUGUCUCUUUCCUUUAAGAGUUUAAUGAAGCGGUGCCUUUGUCCCUUGCAGGCACUCGAGGACCUAGGCCGAAGGAGGCUCUGUCAUUUUUAACUCUUGGCUUCCAAGGGCUCUUGAGGCAUCUCCAUCCAGUGAGACAGAAGGGGACAAGAGUGUGGAGGAGCACUCAAGAAAGGGUGUUAGGGGCAAGGCCUGGUAGAGAAACACAACAUUUCUGGGUGCAUUCCAUUGGCUAGAACCCGAUGCAGAUUGUAUAGCAUCUUCACUUAGCAUCCUCCCCCUAGCACCCUCCACAUGGCAACCCUCAUUUCUUGAGUUACUGCUGUCAGGUGU
RNAcentral lists this long non-coding RNA (833 nucleotides) under Pan troglodytes (chimpanzee). Its description in RNAcentral is "long non-coding RNA NONPTRT003406". The record is from RNAcentral. Lineage: Eukaryota; Metazoa; Chordata; Mammalia; Primates; Hominidae.